AGUGAACGCUGGCGGUAGGCCUAACACAUGCAAGUCGAACGGCAGCACAGUAAGCGCUUGCUCUUACGGGUGGCGAGUGGCGGACGGGUGAGGCAUACAUCGGCAUCUUCUUUUUCGUGGGGGACAACGUAGGGCAACUUACGCUAAUACCGCAUACGACCUACGGGUGAAAGCAGGGGAUCUACGGACCUUGCGCGAUUGAAUGAGCCGAUGUCGGAUUAGCUAGUUGGCGGGGUAAAGGCCCACCAAGGCGACGAUCCGUAGCUGGUCUGAGAGGAUGAUCAGCCACACUGGAACUGAGACACGGUCCAGACUCCUACGGGAGGCAGCAGUGGGGAAUAUUGGACAAUGGGCGCAAGCCUGAUCCAGCCAUACCGCGUGGGUGAAGAAGGCCUUCGGGUUGUAAAGCCCUUUUGUUGGGAAAGAAAAGCAGCAGGUUAAUACCCCGCUGUUCUGACGGCACCCAAAGAAUAAGCACCGGCUAACUUCGUG
RNAcentral lists this ribosomal RNA (492 nucleotides) under uncultured bacterium. Its description in RNAcentral is "partial 16S ribosomal RNA". It matches the Rfam family "Bacterial small subunit ribosomal RNA", at positions 29 to 507 of the family's 1533-position model. The record is from RNAcentral.